RNAcentral lists this ribosomal RNA (496 nucleotides) under uncultured bacterium. RNAcentral's name for it is "partial 16S ribosomal RNA". It matches the Rfam family "Bacterial small subunit ribosomal RNA", at positions 29 to 507 of the family's 1533-position model. The record is from RNAcentral.
AUGAACGCUGGCGGCGUGCCUAAUACAUGCAAGUCGAGCGAACGGACGAGAAGCUUGCUUCUCUGAUGUUAGCGGCGGACGGGUGAGUAACACGUGGAUAACCUACCUAUAAGACUGGGAUAACUUCGGGAAACCGGAGCUAAUACCGGAUAAUAUUUUGAACCGCAUGGUUCAAAAGUGAAAGACGGUCUUGCUGUCACUUAUAGAUGGAUCCGCGCUGCAUUAGCUAGUUGGUAAGGUAACGGCUUACCAAGGCAACGAUGCAUAGCCGACCUGAGAGGGUGAUCGGCCACACUGGAACUGAGACACGGUCCAGACUCCUACGGGAGGCAGCAGUAGGGAAUCUUCCGCAAAGGGCGAAAGCCUGACGGAGCAACGCCGCGUGAGUGAUGAAGGUCUUCGGAUCGUAAAACUCUGUUAUUAGGGAAGAACAUAUGUGUAAGUAACUGUGCACAUCUUAACGGUACCUAAUCAGAAAGCCACGGCUAACUACGUG